RNAcentral lists this ribosomal RNA (430 nucleotides) under uncultured bacterium. RNAcentral describes it as "bacterial SSU rRNA". It matches the Rfam family "Bacterial small subunit ribosomal RNA", at positions 355 to 777 of the family's 1533-position model. The record is from RNAcentral.
UGGGGAAUAUUGGACAAUGGGCGAAAGCCUGAUCCAGCCAUGCCGCGUGUGUGAAGAAGGUCUUCGGAUUGUAAAGCACUUUACGUUGGGAGGAAGGGCAGUAAGCUAAUACCUUGCUGUUUUGACGUUACCGACAGAAUAAGCACCGGCUAACUCUGUGCCAGCAGCCGCGGUAAUACAGAGGGUGCAAGCGUUAAUCGGAAUUACUGGGCGUAAAGCGCGCGUAGGUGGUUCGUUAAGUUGGAUGUGAAAGCCCCGGGCUCAACCUGGGAACUGCAUCCAAAACUGGCGAGCUAGAUUACGGUGUAGGGUAGUGGAAUUUCCUUUGUAGCGGUGAAAUGCGUAGAUAUAGGAAGGAACACCAGUGGCGAAGGCGACCACCUGGACUGAUACUGACACUGAGGUGCGAAGGCGUGGGGAGCAAACAGGA